GGCCGAGUAGCGUAAUGGCUAACGCGCUGGACUUCGGAUCCAGAGAUUGUGGGUUCGAGUCCCAUCUUGGUCG
Non-coding RNA from Sitodiplosis mosellana (orange wheat blossom midge), 73 nucleotides. Lineage: Eukaryota; Metazoa; Arthropoda; Insecta; Diptera; Cecidomyiidae. The record is from the annotation of a RefSeq genome assembly.